GCUGGGUGUGGUAAUGCACACCUGUAAUUCCAGCCACUUGGGAGGUGAGGCAGGAGGAUCACAAGUUCAAAGACAGCUUCAUCAACUCAGAAAGGCCCUAAGCAACUUAAUGAGAACCUGUCUCAA
Molecule: small RNA, 126 nt
Filed under: Marmota monax (woodchuck)
Lineage: Eukaryota; Metazoa; Chordata; Mammalia; Rodentia; Sciuridae
Source: RNAcentral